ACAAUGGCUCUUUUCAGAGCCCCCUACAUUUAUUAAGUACCUAUU
Monodelphis domestica (gray short-tailed opossum) is the source of this 45-nucleotide non-coding RNA. The record is from Rfam. Lineage: Eukaryota; Metazoa; Chordata; Mammalia; Didelphimorphia; Didelphidae.